Molecule: ribosomal RNA, 302 nt
Filed under: uncultured bacterium
Lineage: Bacteria
Description: partial 16S ribosomal RNA
Rfam family: Bacterial small subunit ribosomal RNA
Source: RNAcentral
GCAGCCGCCACGGGAAUACAGAGGGUGCGAGCGUUAAUCGGAUUUACUGGGCGUAAAGCGUGCGUAGGCGGCUUUUUAAGUCGGAUGUGAAAUCCCUGAGCUUAACUUAGGAAUUGCAUUCGAUACUGGGAAGCUAGAGUAUGGGAGAGGAUGGUAGAAUUCCAGGUGUAGCGGUGAAAUGCGUAGAGAUCUGGAGGAAUACCGAUGGCGAAGGCAGCCAUCUGGCCUAAUACUGACGCUGAGGUACGAAAGCAUGGGGAGCAAACAGGAUUAGAUACCCUGUAGUCCCUGUCUCUUAUACA